This 416-nucleotide ribosomal RNA is filed under the name uncultured bacterium. RNAcentral's name for it is "bacterial SSU rRNA". It matches the Rfam family "Bacterial small subunit ribosomal RNA", at positions 355 to 774 of the family's 1533-position model. The record is from RNAcentral.
UGGGGAAUAUUGGACAAUGGGCGGAAGCCUGAUCCAGCAACGCCGCGUGAGGGAUGACGGCCUUCGGGUUGUAAACCUCUUUCAGUAUCGACGAAGCGCCGAUGAUGGUGGUGACGGUAGGUACAGAAGAAGCACCGGCCAACUACGUGCCAGCAGCCGCGGUAAUACGUAGGGUGCGAGCGUUGUCCGGAAUUAUUGGGCGUAAAGGGCUCGUAGGCGGUUUGUCGCGUCGGGAGUGAAAACCCAGGGCUUAACUCUGGGCUUGCUUUCGAUACGGGCAGACUAGAGGUAUGCAGGGGAGAACGGAAUUCCUGGUGUAGCGGUGAAAUGCGCAGAUAUCAGGAGGAACACCGGUGGCGAAGGCGGUUCUCUGGGCAUUACCUGACGCUGAGGAGCGAAAGUGUGGGGAGCGAACA